CAGCAGCCGCGGUAAUACGUAGGGUGCAAGCGUUAAUCGGAAUUACUGGGCGUAAAGCGUGCGCAGGCGGUUAUAUAAGACAGAUGUGAAAUCCCCGGGCUCAACCUGGGAACUGCAUUUGUGACUGUAUAGCUAGAGUACGGCAGAGGGGGAUGGAAUUCCGCGUGUAGCAGUGAAAUGCGUAGAUAUGCGGAGGAACACCGAUGGCGAAGGCAAUCCCCUGGGCCUGUACUGACGCUUAUGCACGAAAGCGUGGGGAGCAAACAGGAUUAGAUACCCGAGUAGUCCCUGUCUCUUAUAC
RNAcentral lists this ribosomal RNA (301 nucleotides) under uncultured bacterium. Its description in RNAcentral is "partial 16S ribosomal RNA". It matches the Rfam family "Bacterial small subunit ribosomal RNA", at positions 509 to 807 of the family's 1533-position model. The record is from RNAcentral.